This is a non-coding RNA of Podarcis lilfordi (Lilford's wall lizard), 66 nucleotides long. The record is from the annotation of a GenBank genome assembly. Lineage: Eukaryota; Metazoa; Chordata; Lepidosauria; Squamata; Lacertidae.
GCAGCUCAGUGGUAGGGCAUCUGCCUUGCAUGCAAAAGCCCACAGGUUCAAUUCCCAUCAUCUCCA